GACGAACGCUGGCGGCGUGCUUAACACAUGCAAGUCGAACGGAAAGGCCCUGCUUUUGUGUGCUGCUCGAGCGACGAACGGAUUAGUACCACGUUAGUCUCCUGCUCUCGAUUUUGUGAUUUCAUCAGGCAACUGGGGAUACCACCUGAUAGGUCCUCCUGCUUGAUGGUGGGUGUUGGGUAGCUUCGGCGGUUGGGGAUGGACUCGCGGCUUAUCAGCUUGUUGGUGGGGUAGUGGCUUACCAAGGCUUUGACGGGUAGCCGGCCUGAGAGGGUGACCGGCCACAUUGGGACUGAGAUACGGCCCAGACUCCUACGGGAGGCAGCAGUGGGGAAUAUUGCACAAUGGGCGGAAGCCUGAUGCAGCAACGCCGCGUGCGGGAUGACGGCCUUCGGGUUGUAAACCGCUUUCGCCUGUGACGAAGCGUGAGUGACGGUAAUGGGUAAAGAAGCACCGGCUAACUACGUG
This 468-nucleotide ribosomal RNA is filed under the name uncultured bacterium. Its description in RNAcentral is "partial 16S ribosomal RNA". It matches the Rfam family "Bacterial small subunit ribosomal RNA", at positions 28 to 507 of the family's 1533-position model. The record is from RNAcentral.